AACGAACGCUGGCGGCGCGCCUAAUACAUGCAAGUCGAGCGAGAAGGUGUAGCAAUACACUUGUAAAGCGGCGAACGGGUGAGGAAUGCAUGGGUAACCUACCCUCGAGUGGGGAAUAACUAGCCGAAAGGUUAGCUAAUACCGCAUACGUUUCCGGAACUUCGGUUUCGGAAAGAAAGCAAUACCGUGGGUAUUGCGCUCCUGGAUGGGCUCAUGUCCUAUCAGCUUGUUGGUGAGGUAACGGCUCACCAAGGCUUCGACGGGUAGCUGGUCUGAGAGGACGAUCAGCCACACUGGCACUGCGACACGGGCCAGACUCCUACGGGAGGCAGCAGUAAGGAAUAUUGCGCAAUGGACGAAAGUCUGACGCAGCGACGCCGCGUGGGGGAUGAAGGUCUUCGGAUUGUAAACCCCUUUCGGGAGGGUAAGAUGGAGUGGGUAACCACUUGGACGGUACCUCCAGAAGCAGCCACGGCUAACGUUCGUGCCAGCAGCCGCGGUAAU
Molecule: ribosomal RNA, 504 nt
Filed under: uncultured bacterium
Lineage: Bacteria
Description: bacterial SSU rRNA
Rfam family: Bacterial small subunit ribosomal RNA
Source: RNAcentral